This 116-nucleotide ribosomal RNA is filed under the name Opitutaceae bacterium. The record is from RNAcentral. Lineage: Bacteria; Pseudomonadati; Verrucomicrobiota; Opitutia; Opitutales; Opitutaceae.
UCUGGUGAUCAUAAGCGAGGUGUCCCACCCGUUCCCAUUCCGAACACGGACGUGAAAGCCUUAGCUGCCGAUGGUAGUGAGACGAUAGGUCUUGUGAGAGUAGGUUGUUGCCAGAU